RNAcentral lists this ribosomal RNA (372 nucleotides) under uncultured organism. RNAcentral describes it as "bacterial SSU rRNA". It matches the Rfam family "Bacterial small subunit ribosomal RNA", at positions 526 to 896 of the family's 1533-position model. The record is from RNAcentral.
CGUAGGUGGCGAGCGUUGUCCGGAUUUACUGGGCGUAAAGAGCGCGCAGGCGGUCGUGCAAGUCGCGUGUGAAAGCCCCCGGCUCAACUGGGGAGGGUCACGCGAUACUGCUCGACUCGAAGGCAGGAGAGGGAAGUGGAAUUCCCGGUGUAGUGGUGAAAUGCGUAGAUAUCGGGAGGAACACCAGUGGCGAAGGCGACUUCCUGGCCUGUUCUUGACGCUGAGGCGCGAAAGCUAGGGUAGCAAACGGGAUUAGAUACCCCGGUAGUCCUAGCCGUAAACGAUGGACACUAGGUGUUGGUGGUAUCAACCCCGCCAGUGCCGAAGCUAACGCAUUAAGUGUCCCGCCUGGGGAGUACGGCCGCAAGGCUA